Molecule: ribosomal RNA, 499 nt
Filed under: uncultured bacterium
Lineage: Bacteria
Description: bacterial SSU rRNA
Rfam family: Bacterial small subunit ribosomal RNA
Source: RNAcentral
GACGAACGCUGGCGGCGUGCCUAAUACAUGCAAGUCGAGCGGAAUGAUGAAGAAGCUUGCUUCUUCUGAUUUUAGCGGCGGACGGGUGAGUAACACGUGGGCAACCUACCUUGUAGAUUGGGAUAACUCCGGGAAACCGGGGCUAAUACCGAAUAAUCCAUUUUGCUUCAUGGCGAGAUGUUGAAAGACGGUUUCGGCUGUCACUAUAAGAUGGGCCCGCGGCGCAUUAGCUAGUUGGUAGGGUAAUGGCCUACCAAGGCGACGAUGCGUAGCCGACCUGAGAGGGUGAUCGGCCACACUGGGACUGAGACACGGCCCAGACUCCUACGGGAGGCAGCAGUAGGGAAUCUUCCACAUGGACGAAAGUCUGAUGGAGCAACGCCGCGUGAGUGAAGAAGGUUUUCGGAUCGUAAAACUCUGUUGUAAGGGAAGAACACGUACGAGAGUAACUGCUCGUACCUUGACGGUACCUUAUUAGAAAGCCACGGCUAACUACGUG